RNAcentral lists this ribosomal RNA (331 nucleotides) under Syntropis williamsi. Its description in RNAcentral is "partial 12S ribosomal RNA". The record is from RNAcentral. Lineage: Eukaryota; Metazoa; Arthropoda; Arachnida; Scorpiones; Vaejovidae.
UAAAAUUUAUAAAAUUAGGUAGUAAAGGAAUUUCUGAAACCUAAAGAAUUUGGCGGUAUUUUAAAUAAUUGGAGGAACCUGUUAUUUAAUUGACAAUCCACAACAUAUCUUACCUAAAUUUUAUUUGUAUAUCGUCGUUUAAAUUAUAUUAAAAAAUUAUAAUUAAAUUUAAAAAAUUUUUAGAAUUCAGAUCAAGGUGCAGUAUAUUUAGGAUAUAAUGGGUUACAAUAUAGAAUAUAUAUAAUGGAUAUAAAUUUGAAAUUAUAUUAAAAGUGGAUUCAAAAGUAAGAUUAAAUUAAAGUGUUAAUUUGAUUUAUAAUUUAAAAUAUGC